Molecule: long non-coding RNA, 14460 nt
Filed under: Marmota monax (woodchuck)
Lineage: Eukaryota; Metazoa; Chordata; Mammalia; Rodentia; Sciuridae
Rfam family: tRNA (bases 13544-13615)
Source: RNAcentral
CAACACCUUACAUUUUACGGAUGAGGAAGCUGAGGAAUGGUGGACUCCGAGUGAGUCCCCUAAAUCAUGCAGCUAGAGAAUGACUGAGCUCUAGGGCCCAUCAAGGGAUCCUGGGAAGAAUUCUUAUUAGUUUAAUUCUAGUACUUUCUAAAAACAUGACCAUGAUCAAGGUAUGUAUGUAUUUAUUUAUUUUACUACUCUAAGCUUUAAUUUCCUCCUUUGAAAAGCAGAAUUCCUCCUUCAUAGGAGCAUAGAGUUUAUACUACAGUAGGCAUUCAAGAAUCAUAUUUCCAAAUUAAACAAUCAGUCCUGUAUUUUCAUAACUUAUCUUUAAUGCUUCACUAGUGGUCAGUUCCAACAGCUUACUCUAUAAUUAAAUUUGAAUGAUCUUUCACAAGAGGAAAUAGAUUCUGUAUUUUGAAUUCCCUAUGUAAAGAUUUUUUUUGAUGGAAAAUAAAAUUCAACCAUUUUAUUUAAAAAAAUCGUAUCUUUAGGCUAGGGUUGUGGCUUAGUGAUAGAGCACUUGCCUAGCACAUAUGAGACAUUGGGUUCAAUCCUCAGGACCACAUAAAAAUAAAUAAAUAAAAUAAAGGUAUUAUGUCCAUCUACAACAUAUUUUUCCCAUCAUAUCCAGUCUACAAAAAUUAAGCAGGGCUCCCUGAUGGAGGAGAGCCAGAAGCUACCACCUUUUGCACUAUUCUCAUUCUCUUUCAACGUUUAUACUUUUGUCUUCAAAGUUGGUAAAAACCAGAAGUAAAGUCCAAGUGUUGGAUCAAAGCCAUCAGCACUCCCAAGUACAGCACUAAGUAUCAGUUCAUUCUACAAAAAGUUUUUUUUCCUGAGCAUUAAAUCAAAAUCAAUUGCUUGAGAAAGUAAGGAAAAAUAUCAAGUGCUUUCUGAGGCAAAUAAAAGGGAGAAAUCUUAAAAUAUAAUACAAUGGCCAUGAUUAUAGGAAAACAUAAAUUCUCUGGAACAUGUUCUUUUGGAAUAACUCAUAAAAGGGAAAGCAAAAGAAAACAGAACUAAAGUGGUUGAUGGUGCAGAGCAUAAUAUUAACAUUAGGAUCUAUUUGGUGAAAAAGUGAAAUAGCAAUAAAAUGAAGGGAAAAGAAGCAAGAAAAUUAGGCUUUCCAAAUAUAGUUAAAGCUCAGUUUCUCAAAAUAGGAAGGACUAGACACUGUAUGUAAUAACUGAAGAAACUGGAGUGUUUGAAACACAAAACUGGGGCUCUUUUGAUGAGGGAAGUGUUGACCAAGACUGUCCUGAGGACAUCAGGUGGAGUUCUCAUCAGCAACUCUGACUUCAUUUUCUGGUUCUCCCACCUCCACCUGGUGCUCAUUUAAGAACAUGGUACUCGAUUCUUGAGACCAAGGUGACCUCAUCUGGAGACAUAUGGAUUUGUUAAAAAAAAAGAAGGGAGAGGCAAAUGGUGAUGAAGAAUGGAGAGUGGGUGUAGUGAUGGCCUUUGGGGUUCCAAGCUGGGGUGGUCAGAACUGUGGCUAAAACAUUCUACCUGCUAAGAGAUGCCACUAUUUGUGUUACAAAGAUGACAAUCACAAUAGCUAUCUUUUCUCUUUUAAGGCUCUGUGGUGCACUUGGUUCCUUUUCUUCAUGAUCUUCUACCUUAUCACUUUUCUUAGGAAAGGUCUGUUACUCCCACUUUAUGCACAAAAUAAUUCUUGUUCAGAGAGAGCAAAUAACUUGUCUGGAGUCAUAAGACAGGUACAUGCAGACUAUGUCUUGCUCCAAGUCAAUGGUCUAAAGCAGACCUGUUCACAUUUUAGUGAACACAGACAGCAUAGAUCAGUUUUUUUCUGUCUGCCUCUCAGUAGUUUAUAACCUUGGAUGUUAAACCUGCAUUAAUCAGAGAGGAAUGACUUGCGUCGGCAGACCUAGGUGUUCCUGGUCAUGCUGGGUGUAGUUUCACGUGAACAGCAGACUGGCCAGGCACGUCAGAGGAGCAUGAGUACAGCUGGCCCUGAGCAGCACCAUACCGCCUGCUGCUGCUCCUCUCCCAUCAGCAUUUGCCCACCUCCAGGGAUUGAUGUGCUUUUGAAACUCAAAGUUCAAGAAAGCAAAGCUAAGGGCUUACUGGACCUUAGAGAAAGAAGGACUCCAAGCAGAACAGAUUAUUUAUUUUGUUUUGUUGGUUGGAACUGUUUUUUUUUUUUUAAAAAAAGCCUCCUAGCCCUGUCAAAUGUUCAAGAUUGAAAUACCAUGAGACUUGGAGGCUGAGAAAAAUGGGAGAAUUUCCCAACCUUUUCUUUCUUUUCUUUUUUUUUUUAAACAGUACUGGGGGGUACUGUUUAAAAAAAAAAAAAGAAAGGGCCUUGUGCAUGCUAGGUAAGCAUUGUAUCACUGAGCUACAUCCCCAGCCAAGUCCUCACUUUUUGGGCCAGUUUCACCAUCUGGUAAAAGGACUAGUAAGGCCUCCACUAGAAACUGAUUGUGAAGCAUGAAUUAAAUAACAUUAAUAGUCUAGCAUAGGAUAGAUUUUUAUGAAAUAGGUAAAUAUGAACACACCUGUGAUUUAGAGAUCUCCAAUUAUUGAUUAUUUUGAAAGGUGAUACACUGGUGUCAUUCAUAAUCGUUACUGUCAAUACCUUCAACAACUGCCAACUUAUUCUUCACUUCCUGCCCCAUUCCAAGUAUUUCUGGUUUGAAUGUGAUACAAAAUCAAUCAUCAGGCCACGGAGUUAAGUGUAUUCGUGCACCCAGCACAAGAAAAAACUUGACUAUGUAAGUAGAUUUUAUGUAUCAUGGAGUUAUACUCACUAUAGGAUUAUUAUAUUAUGAGAAAGAACUUUCAUAAAAAGAAGUCCACACCUACACAGUGCAACUUGAAGAAUCAUGGCUGGAGUUUAAAAAUACCUUCCCCCAUCUGUGAUAUAGGUAUUUCCUUGUUGAAUUGCGUUCCGAUUUGGUGGUUGGGAUGGUUUCAUAACUCCGAAUCAGCAGUCAUGAUUUUGAUUACAGAGAGAGGGUUAGUUGAAAAAAUCUUUACUGAACUUCUGUGUGUAGAGUGUUUUGGUAGCUGUGGAAACUUCUGGAAAGGAUAUAUUUUGUUGAGAAUAUAAAAUGAGUAAGAGUGACUCAAUCUUAGAACACUUCACAACACCAGGGGUGUAAAGGUAGUGUUGGGGUCAAAAAUCAAAUCAUACCAAACCAAUGAAUACAAUUUUUUUUUGUGUGUGUGUGGUUAUGGUGGUGGUUAUGGUGGUGGCUGUGUUUGUCAUUGUUACUGCAGUGUUCAUGGAUGACUCUGAAGUAACAUGAGAGAAAAGACUAAGAAAAGCCUACCUAUUCCAGAUUUUUACAUGGCCAAUGCAUGCUUCAUACCAGUUACUUCUGCUCAUCUGUAAGACCCAAGAGGGAAGGACCAGUGAUGUUUCACCACUGUCUGCCCAACAUCCAGUCCCAUGUCGGGAAUACAGCAGGUACCCAAUCAAUUUUUGUUGAAUAAAUGGAUUAAUAAAUAUAUUAAUGCAUGAAUUUCAAUCUCAAAAAAGUCCAGAGUAACUGGCUUAUAAUUAAUAUCCUUGUGAUCUUUGAAAUUAUUGACAAGUAGAAUGUAACUUUUGCUUUUUCUAAAACUGAUUUGAGUAUUUCCUUGUUUAUUAUAACAAGGAUUUGAAAGCUUUUCUAUCAUUGUUCAUUUGGAAUUUCAUGGGAAUCCAGAUUGCAGCUCCCCUGCAAUGUUACACAAGAACCAUAGUUCCCCACUCCUCAAAAAUAUGGUGCUAAAAUACGCAUAAGAUAAAAUUUACAGCUUACCCACUUUCAAGUGUCCAGUUCAGUAUCAUUAAGUAUAUGCACUUUGUUCUGCCACCAAUCUCAAAACUUGUGCAAAACUGAAACUCUCUAUCCAUUAAACAACUCUCCAUUCCAUUCUGCACCCAAAUUCUGGAAACCACCAUUCUAUUUUCUAUCUCUAUGAGUCUGGCUACUCUAGGUUCUCCUUGAAAUCGUAAUUGUGUGUUUGUGACUGGCUUAAUUCACUUAGCAUAAUGUCCUGGAGUUUCAUUCAUAUCAUAACAUAUGUCAGAGUUCCUUCCUUUUAAAAAUUGAAUAAUAUUCCAUUUUGUACGUAUGCCACAUUUUCUUCAUCCAUUGAAUAGUCAAUGGACCCUUGGGCUGAUUCCAUCUUUUGGCUAUAGUGAAUAAUGAUAUGGUGAACAUGAAUGUAUGUACAAAUAUCUUUUUAAAACCCUGAUUUCAAUUAUUUUAUUAAUGUAUCAGCUUCAUUAAAUUAGAGUCACAUACCAUACAAUUCACCCAUUUUUAAAGGUUCAGAAUUGGAGCGUAUAGUCUUAAGGCACCAUAAUGAAGCUCAGGGCAACAUGGGAAUUGAAGAGUCAGGAUUCACCUUCCAUUUCUUCAUGGCAAAUUUUUAGACACUCUUCAUUGCUAAGAAAUCUGAACUCUAUGCAUUGCACAAAUAGAGUUCCUGUGUAAAUUCUUUAUCCAAGGUAAGUGAACGUGAGAGUAUUUAUAUUCCAGGACUUAGAAAUAUCACCUUCCUUGAUACUGGAGAGUAAAACUGAAGCUUGGAAUGGAGAAAGAGUUUUGAUGAAAAGGGGCUACGUCUACAUAAGACAACCGUAGGGAUCAUGGCUGGAACUUAAAAAUAUCUUUUUCAAUCUGUGAUUUGGGUAUUUCCUUGUUUAUUAUAACCUGCUUCAAUGUUUGGGAUGUUUUCAAGACUCUGAAAUCAGCAGUCAUUAUUCAUCAAGAAUUCAUUCAUCAAGAAUUUGAGGUUUUCCUUCACUGAGGAAAUUGGUAGAUGCAGUUAGGAUGCUGUGGAAGCAGAAUCAUUAGGAAACAAUUCCAGAAUUACUGAGGGACCAGUAUUUAUGUGACAGGAAAGAGUUACACUGUGGUCCUCAUUGGCCACCCAUCCCCAUGUUCCCACAACCCCUCACAUUGGGUUAUUUACCACCUGGUCAGUGUUUUCUCUUUGCCUUUUGCUCAAUCGUCUCAAAGUCCAAUUUUCCUCUCACUAUCUAAUCAGGUUGUGGUUACUUAUGUCAUUUAUGACCCCCAGCCCAAUAUUUCUUUCACUGUUCCUUAUCUCUUUGGUAAAACUGUGGGCCUUUAGGUGGGAAAACAUUGUGUGCAAGAGGAAAAAUUUCCAAAUGAGGAAACACAAGGUUAGGUCCAGUUCUGCUCCUGUCCAGCCACAGGGCUGCAGGAAGCCCCUCCUCCCAGCCUCCCUUUCCUUUUGUGUACAUUUUUUGUGUACAGUGGGCCUAGAAAUAGCGACCCUCCUGUGUUGCUGCAUUGCCUAAAUGAUAGCACCUGAGUGAGUGCUUUGACAUCUAGGAAGCCCUACAUAACUGUAAAGUCACUUCAUGUUACUUCACAGAAUAGUUCUCUGCUCCUAUAGCACAAACGGUGAGUUGAGUACACACAUACACACAUACACACAGUUUGAGAAUCGGGACCUACUGCUACUCUUUUUUUUUAAAUAUCUUUAUUUUAUUUAUUUAUUUCUAUGUGGUGCUGAAGAUUGAACCCAGGGCCUCGCAUGUGCUAGGCGAGUGCUCUACUGCUGAGCCACAAUCCCAGCCACAAUCCCAGGCAUUGUUCAUGGGAGGGCAUUGCCAUUUUGCUGAACACUUCCGCCUAACAGGGCACUUCCCAUACAAUGCACCACUAAUCCCCAUUUAUUAGAAGGGUAAGCAUUGUUUUGGAGAGGAGGGGAAUGAUCUAAUAUCUUGCCCAAAGUCGUGCCAUUAGUAAGCAGCCAGGCAGGAACUGAAACACAGGCUUAGGAGUCUAAGGUUCUCCACAAGCUUUGAGCUUUUUAUCUAUGUGAAUGAAAGUUCUCUUCAUGCUCUGAUAUCUUAAAGUUGCAUGAUUUUGAAACAUAGUUGUCCUGGAGCAAAGGAAAUAGUUUAAGACAAAAACAUAAGAAACUUCAACUGUGAAAUAUUUUCUUUCAGAAAGUAUUGUUGCUAUGGAUUGACUCUUACAUAGAGAUCUGCAAAAUCUGGGCGUGCAUGGAAGAGACGGGAAGGUUCUAGCCUCCUGCCUCCUUUCCUCCUGCUUUUCAGGUUUGCUUCCUCCCACCUUAGCAGUCUUCAGGAAUGAAGAGGACCAGCUGGAACUGAUCCAGAACUCUGCCGUCCUGGAAGGCUGGGUGGGUACAGGUUCAGACUGCUGAGGGCCAGUAGCUUAAGCAGAUGAUACACCAGUCAACUGCUUGUGGCCACCUUGGUGCCACAUUAUCUCCCACCAAAUAAAGGACAGGGCUGCUCACCCUCCCAGGUAAUUAAUUCAGUCAUCUACAAAUUCAACUCUCUUUCUUGAAGGUCCACCCAUAAAUUUUCUUGGUGAGUUAAUGUAACAGUUCUUAAGAAUUUGGACUUUGAGGUCAGAUAGAACUUGUUUCAAAUUCCAGUUCUGAGCUUUCUUGCUAUGAUGCUUUGGAGAAAUUCUCUAAUUGUUUCUGAGUCUGAUUAGUAAAAGGAUAAUAAUAAAAAUGACCCCACAAGGUUGUUAGAGGAUUGGGUUGAAUAAUGAAUCAUAGGGUUUUGUUUGUUAUGAGAGAGAGAGAGAGAGAGAGAGAGAGAGAGAGAAUUUCUUAAUAUUUAUUUUUUAGUUUUCAGUGGACACAACAUCUUUAUUUUAUUUUUAUGUGGUGCUGAGGAUCGAACCCAGCGCCCCGCACAUGCCAGGAGAGCGCGCUACCACUUGAGCCACAUCCCCAGCCCAAUCAUAGGGUUUUAAGCAUAAUGUUGGCCAAAGGUAAGUACUGUGAACAUAACAGCUGUUGUCCAUCGUCAUCAUUCCUUUUCCCCAUAAUUCUCAAGUUCCCUUCUCCCUCUGGAUCACCAAACAUUUCAAAAUGUUUGCUCCCACAGUACCCAAUCUCAUUAUCUCCUGUAUCCUUCAUCCAGAAUCUUCCCAUCUCACUCUUACCUAAAAAAUAUUUCUCCAUCUAAUAUGUAGAAAAAUAAGCUGAAUCCUGAGUCCAACCCAAAGUUGUUUACCCAUACCCAUGAAGAGGUAUCCCCCACUUGAAGGGUAGUAGGGGCCUACUGCCAUUACCUGAACCAGUUUAUACACAGAAGGAGACGGAGCGAGGUGGAAGCAGGUGUGAGAAGAAUAAAGACAAUGGCUAUUUUACUUGUGGAAAUGUAUUAAAGGGGAAUGAGGGAAAGAGAUAAGGUCACAAGAUGAGGCCACACAUCCAUGCCUCUGAAUCAGGAGCAGACUGAGUGGCAGGGAAGCCAGUCUGCCAGACGGGGCAGACAGGUUCACCUCACUAGCCCCUGUGUCACAUUGUUCAAGGUGCAUGGCCAGACUGCGUGGAGAGAGCAUGUCCUCUGUGGCACACCAACCCCCAGGCAUGCCAGCACCCGCCUGUUGGGCUGCCAUCUGGAGAUGUAAGUAAGAGUUUGGAACAAGUUAUCUCCCUGGCAAGGAGCCCGGGAAGCUUUGCUUUACUUUUGCUUUACUGGCCUCCCAGCAGGAGGCUGCAUGCGCAAUGCUCAUGACCAAGGGGCAGAAGCCCUGGUGUGGAAGGUGGAGUGGAAAAGGAGGGAGGAGUCACUCUCUUUUAAUCUGUUUCCUACCCUGGUCCUGCCUUCUAUUGAUAUUCUCUUUGGUGGCCCUUCUUUGAGUCAUUCACCAAGGGAGAAUAGAGUCCCUCUGAUUUCCUGUCACUUUUAAAAGUGGGAAGAAUUGGGCUGCUAUAAACAUUGAUGUGGCUGUGUCCCUGUAGUAUGCUGUUUUUUAAGUCCUUUGGGUAUGACUAAGGGGAGGGAUAGCUGGGUCAAAAGGCGAUUCCAUUCCCAGUUUUCCAAGGAAUCUCCAUACUGAUUUCCAGAUUGGCUGCACCAAUUUGCAGUCCCACCAGCAAUGUAUGAGUGUGCCUUUUUCCCCUCAUCCUUGCCAACACUUAUUGUCUUCAUAAUAGCUGCCAUUCUGACUGGAGUGAGAUGGAAUCUUCGAGUGGUUUUGAUUUGCAUUUCUCUAAUUGCAUUUCUCAUUUUUUCAUAUAUUUGUUGAUUAAUUGUAUAUCCUCUUCUGAGACGUGUCUGUUCAGGUCCUUGGCCCAUUCAUUGAUUGGGUUAUUAUUAUUAUUAUUAUUAUUAUUAUUAUUAUAUUUUUUUUGGUGCUUAGAUUUUUGAGUUCUUUAUAUACUCUAGAGAUUAGUACUCUAUCUGAUGUGUGAGGGGUAAAGAUUUGCUCCCAAGAUGUAGGCUCUCUAUUCACUUCACAGAUGGUUUCUUAUGCUGAGAAGAAAUUUUUUAGUUUGAGUCCAUUUAUUGAUGUUUUGAUUCUUAAUUUUAAUUCUUGCACCAAAAGAGUCUUAUUAAGGAAGUUGGGGGUGCUCUAUAUGUGUAAUAAGAAUUGUAAUGCAUUCUACUGUCAUAUAUAAAUAAAAAAUUAAAUUAAAAAAAGAAGACUACUCUUCUUUAAGAAGAUUUCUAUUAGGUAGAAUUUGGAUUGUGGGAGGCGAAAAUGAAUGUGGAUUUUUGGUUAUACAGACAUGAAGACUUGUCCAUUCAGAGGUGAAUUGGACUAGGAUAAAGUCAAUGAUGUGUGAAAGAAGAAAAACCAAGUUUGAAAUAUGAUUUGUGCCUCAGUGAAAAAAUUAAAGGCUAUACUAUAUUAUAGUGUUAUUAAAUACUAUAUUAUAGUGUUAUUAAAUACUAUAUUAUAGUGUUACUAAAAUUGGCAUUAUUGGGGGACUGGGAAUAUAACUCAAUGAUCUAAUGAUAAGUAAAUGUUGGCAUAUCCCUUUGAUACACUAUUUGUAUUUUGAAAACAUUAAAAUUAUGUCAACUAAGGAGACAUAAUGGCAAGAAAAAUAAUGAGGAUAAAGUGUUAAAGGAAAUUUUGUGCAUUAUGAUCCUUAUUAUAAAGAAAUAUAUAUGUGUAUGUAUGUAUGUAUAUAUGAACCAGAAGAGUAAUCAUGUUUGAUCUUUCAUUAUAAUUUCUUGCGGUUUCCAAGUUUUCUCCAGGAACUACAAAUUAUUCUAGUAAUCAAAGAUUUUUAAAUAAAUAGAAACAUAAAAGAUAAAAAAAUUUUUUUAAAGUGGGAAGAGCCAGCGCCAUGGUGCAAACCUGUAAUCCCAGUGGCUGGUGGGCCAAGGGGGCGGGGAGCUGAGGCAGGAGGAUCAAGAGUUCAAAGCUAUCCUCAGCAAAAGUGAGGCGCUAGGCAACUCAGUGAGACCCUGUCUCUAAAUAAAAUACAAAAUAGGGCUGGGAUGUGGCUCAGUGAUCAAGUGCCCCUGAGUACAAUCCUCAGUACUGGAAAAAAAAAAAAAAAGUAGGAAGAAGGCUGUAAUAAUCCCAGGAACUUGGUAGUCUGAGGCAGAAGGAUCAAAAGUUUGAGACCAGCUUGAUCAACUUGUCUCAAAACAACAACAACAACAAACCCCAACAAUUACAAUAACAAUAACAAGAAAAAUGUACCUUAGUAUUCAGGUGUAGCUCAGUGGUGGAGUACCCAUGGAUUCCAUAUCCAAUACUGAAAAAAGAAAAGAAAGAAAGCAGGAGGGGGGAUUCAAAGACAACCAGUUCUUAAAAGAUAAUUAUAUUUUGGAGCCAUCUCUUGUGAGAGCUCUUACUGUGUAAAAGCAAAUGUGCCAGUCAUUUUUUAGUAUCCUCUUCCCUCCUCCAUUCUGUUUCUCGGAGGUUUCUUCUCAAGAUGCUCAUUUCCCCUUGUCUUCCAUGAGGGAAGCUGUGAGGGAAGCUGCCUACAGCGGUUCUGCAAAAGCCACCAUCCCAAUUGACACGGGUCUGGCAAAGAAGAGAAGGCAUGAUCACAAAUAGGUUCAGAGCUCAGCUGGGUUCUCCUUGUCCUUUUAUAUCCAGAUAAGAUUGGUUCAAACCUCUAUCCUAUAACUACAGAAAGUCCAGUACCUUUCCCCAGUGUGGGGAAAAUUUCCAGGGGCAGGGUAUUAUAUUAUUGAGAUUACUCUGGCCAAGAGCUUCUCAUUUCACCCAAUCAGUUGAGUCCAAUUCACCCAGCCCCAGCACACCUACCCUGUUCUUUCCAUAAUGGGAAACUUGAUCCCUUCAUUUGAUUUCCAUAAAAAAGCAAGAAAAAAAAUAUGCGAUUUCAUUUUCACAAAGUCUUUUUGUGGACAUAAAGGUUUCCAGAGAGGAUCAAGUAUUACAAGGUGGCAGUUUAAAAUUGAGCAUUAACCUUCUACAUCCCUGUAAGUCCUUCGUUCUGUCUACUGCUGGAAAUUCUACUUCUCUUCUCUCCCCUCACAUCUCUCCUCCUCCCCUCCUCCCUUGCAGAUUUCCUUGACAGAUCUGAAUUGCUUUUUCUCUACUAGGUGGUACCCCCAGCUCAUCUCUAAACCUUGAAUCUCCAAACAGGGCAACUUACACCAGGCAGGGCCACUGACUUUGCUAGCAACAAGCCACUCACAGAAGCCUUGAGAUUUCCUUUCACAUAUCUCACUAGACUUAAAAGCUACCUUUGGUGUUACUGGACAAUUUUGGUUUUUCUUUUAAGCAUGUCCCAAGGUUGUAUGGGGAGGGCCAGAGGAGAGGUAAGGGAGAACUUUGUGAGUUCAAAGGAAAGGUCUUCUCUGAGACUGUCAGGAAGAAUCAAACUGAGGAAUCUGUGAAGAGUUAGGAAUGUGCUGAGUGUGAACUUGCAGAUGAGUGGGGGAGGAUGAAGGAUGGAGGGGGAUGCAGAGCUGUGGCGAGGGGACAUCUUUCCACGUGUCUGUUUCCUUCCUAGCCCCUUAGCUCUGUGACUGGGGCUGAAACAGAACCAGGAAACACCCGAGAAGAAUUAACAAGGGACAGGCAUUCCUUCAUACCCAGAUGAUGUCAUUUCAUUUUUUUUUUUUGAGCUAGAUAUGACCAGAAGUCACAUGAUGAAGGUAGCAGCAGGGAGAGCUCCAUAACCUGUGGGGGUAGUGAAAAAUGAAAAUGUGGGGUUCUGGUCCAAAAGAAGGGGGAAGUGCCAUUAAAGGUAGUAAAAUUAGCUGGGUACAGUGGCACUUGACUGUAAUCACAGCGACCUGCGGGGCUGAGGUGGGAGGGUCACAAGUUUGAAGCCAACCUCAGCAACUCAAGGAGAUCAUGUCUCAAAAUAAAAUAAAUAAAUAAAUUAAAAGGACUGGGGUUGUAACUCAGUGGUGGAGCUCCCCUGGGUUCAAUCUCCAGUGCCUAAAAAAAGGUAGCAAAAUAUAAAGUUUCUUUUUCUUCCAUAGUAUCUCUUUUGAUUUUUAAAUGGCUGUUUAAUGUUAAGAAAGCUUAAAAUUUGAAUCAUUAGUAUGAAUUUUGCCCCUCAUCUCUAUAUUGUGCUAUGCCAGUUUUGAAUACAAAUACGGGAACACUUAACCUGUGUGUGGAAUCACAAAAACGAUACAACUUACGUCUUGUAGUCCCCACAUGCAUUUCAUUCUUAUCAGGAGAGUAGAAAGGCUGCACAAAACUCAACCUCUUUAUUCCACUUCUUGGUAACACAUGUUCCCUUGCGCUCUCUACCUUCCACUUACUAAUGAGUAAAGAAGUACUAAGAGGAAAAGGAAGUGCAGGCUGCGCUAUCUUUCCCUUUCCCCUGCCAUGUCAUCCUUUUCAAGUUAAGUGGCUGGCUAAUACAAGAAAGUGACACAAAGAAGAAAGGAUGGGAUAGGGUCUCUUCAUUGUUGAUGUUUCUUACCACACCAUGGCUUUUUUUUUUUUUUCUGGAACAAAAGCAAGCUCUGGUUUGAAUGGAAAGCCUGGCCUUUCCAGAUGCUUGGUAUCUUCCCUGUAACUCCUUCGCUGAGACUCUCCUGCAUUCUCGUGCAUCAAGGGUCCUCUGCAAGUCUCCGCUCACAGAGCAGAGGCAACACCAUAUGCAAACAUAUUAUGCCGUGUAUUCCCUUGAUUAGGUGCAUGUUCCAUUGUCCUGUUGGACUUUACUUAUAACACAGACUUAAAUAUUAAAAUCACUAAAGCCUUUCAAGAUGGCAAUAGCAAACCUUGAACCCUUUUGAGUGGAGGGCCCUGUGUGACAAAAGCUCAGGAAACACCCAUAAAGCUGGCAGAGAGCAGAGCCCUAGGCUGCCUGCCUACUGGGUGUUCCAUGAGAUUGAAAAACAUUUCUAUCUAAAGAUGUUUUAUUUUGAGAUCUUUGCUGCAUUUUGCUUCCUGACUGGUGUGAACACUUUUAGUUCUCAAAACACAUUGCCAGGGCUGGGGCUGUAGCUCAGUGGGUAAAGCACUUGCUUUGCAUGUGUGAGGUACUGGGUUCAAUCCUCAGCACCAUAUAAAAAGAUAUUGUGUCCAUUUAAAACUAAAAAAAACAAACAAAACAAAGAAACAAAUAAACAAACAAAAAACAUUGCCAGAUAGCAUAAAUAAGAAAGAAUACCUCUCUAUUUAGUUAACACUAAAUGUUGACUGUGUAUGACUAUGUAUGUUUUGUAGUUCCCGCAUGCAUAUGAAUUUCAUAUGCAUAUUUCAUACAUGCAUACUACAAGACAUAUAUACUCUUGCUAUUUUCUUCAUUGUGAUGUUUCACUAGCCCCUCUAAUUUAAAAUGCCUCAAACUCAUUUCCCCUCCUAUACCAAAUGUAGACACAAAACAACUAACAUUUAAUUAGCUGUAAACAUGUACCAAACAUUUUAAUUCCUAUUUAGUAGUUAUACCAUAUUUACUACCUUUUCCCAGAUGAGGAAAUGGAAGCUUAGAAAGUAUAUUUCACUUGUUAAAGGGUUACUGAGUUGAAAUAGUUACUGAGUUGAAAUAUAAUCACUGUAUUUAUGACCCCAAAGUCUAUGUAAUUAAUCCCUUCUCUUUCCUUAGCUUUUCUAGGAUUGCAAGAUAAUUCCUGAAACAAUGGCUGUGGUGUGAUUGUGGAAAGAAAGGUCUUCCUUUGAUCUUGCAGCAAAGCAGUGUCUAUAGUAAAUCCAGGACCCUGGUGUUCUACAGAUCACUAUGGUACUAUGAUCCCUACCAACAGACAUCCUAAAAACCUAUGUGUUCAGCCCAGAGGAGUUUCUUAGAGAAGCUGUGGUCCUCUAUUCCUUAGUGACCUCUUGUGGCAAGUGGACUACCUGCUGUGAACCAUCCUCCAGAGGAUAAAGAGCUUAUCACUCACUGUUAUGCCCAACCCUGGACCACACAAAAGGCUUCAGGGGAAUCUGGUUAGGAAGUGGGGUAGUAUUUGGUCUCACACACACACUGACAUGCCUGGAAACAGGCUAGAGGAGACAUCCUCAUCAUUCCAAUGUGUCCAAAGUGAGCCAAGGAUAUAAAAGCACCAGGUUUUCUGUUUCUUGGACUUGUCUUUGUAUCUUUUCCCCAAUUCCUUCUCCUCUCUUCCUUUAGGUGAGGAGAGAAAGCUAUAUUGAAGCAUAAAUCAGAUUGAAGAAUUAAAUAAUAUUAACAAGACUAGCAGCACAGCAAUGUGUACAAGGUUGAUUUUAACAGAAUAAAUUUUUAAAAUAUGAAUAUCAGUAGGAGCUUUCAAGUGAUUGUAUUAACAUUAAUAUGUACACAGUGUAAUACUAUAAAGGUAUAAAACUUGUUUAUAAUGGAGGCAGAGGAGUUGGGGUAAAAAAACAAACUAUCUGGGGGUGUAACUCAAAGGUAGAGCAUUUGUCUGGCAUAUGUGAAGCCCUGGGUUUCAUUCCCAGCACCACAACAUAAGCAAAAACCAAACAAAUAAAAGAAGCCACAUUACAAAAUAUUUUUUAUGAUAUAUAUUUUUAUAAUGUUGGAGUGAGUUUCCAUGCAAACAGAAAAGAAAUUCACCAAAAUGUUAACAGUGGUAGUUAUCUCUGAGUGGUGAUAUAAAAGAUUCAACAUUUGUUCUCUACAUUUUUAUAUAUUUCAGUGGUUCUCAGUGUAUUAAAAGUCUGGGGCUGAGGAUGUGGCUCAAGCAGUAACGCGGUCGCCUGGCAUGUGCAAGGCGUUGGGUUCGAUCCUCCAGCACCACAUAAAAUAAAAUGUUGUGUCCACCGAAAACUGAAAAAUAAAUAUUAAAAAAAUUCUCUCUCUAAAAAAAAAAAGUCUGUUAUGCAUCUGAAUGCUAGACCAAUUAAGUCAGAAUGUUCAGGGUAAGGCUUGCUUGGGUACUGGUAAAAAUUCCUCCUGAUGAUUGUAAUGUGCAAUCAGGCUUGAGAACCAGUGUUAUUUUGUUUGGUUUUACAAUCAGUGUUCAUUUUUAUAAGUCAGGAAACCAGACAAAGUUAUCUCGAUUUUACCAAUUUGUAUGCAAUGUGCAUUUGUGCAUAUAGGCAGUUGCAGAAAUUAAGCUGAAGCCAGUAAAACAUCCAAAGGAAACAGUAAAGUGGCCUCACUGAUAACUGAUUGUGGAAUCUGAAGUCAGGAAAACCUGGCUUUGCUUCAUUAUUCUAAUCCCUCCUGGCUGUUACCUGGAGCUACUCACUUCAUCUGUUUGAAUGUGCUUCUCCUCUAGUAAAGGCAGGCAGAAGGAUGAGAAUUAAGUAUUGCAUGUGCUUAAGUUAUUCGUUAUAAUAAAGAUAG